RNAcentral lists this ribosomal RNA (513 nucleotides) under uncultured bacterium. RNAcentral describes it as "partial 16S ribosomal RNA". It matches the Rfam family "Bacterial small subunit ribosomal RNA", at positions 28 to 523 of the family's 1533-position model. The record is from RNAcentral.
GACGAACGCUGGCGGCGUGCUUAACACAUGCAAGUCGAACGAUGAAGCCGGAGCUUGCUCUGGUGAAUUAGUGGCGAACGGGUGAGUAACACGUGGGUAACCUGCCCAUAAGACUGGGAUAACUCCGGGAAACCGGGGCUAAUACCGGAUAACAUUUUGAACCGCAUGGUUCGAAAUUGAAAGGCGGCUUCGGCUGUCACUUAUGGAUGGACCCGCGUCGCAUUAGCUAGUUGGUGAGGUAACGGCUCACCAAGGCAACGAUGCGUAGCCGACCUGAGAGGGUGAUCGGCCACACUGGGACUGGGAACCGGCCCAGACUCCUACGGGAGGCAGCAGUAGGGAAUCUUCCGCAAUGGACGAAAGUCUGACGGAGCAACGCCGCGUGAGUGAUGAAGGCUUUCGGGUCGUAAAACUCUGUUGUUAGGGAAGAACAAGUGCUAGUUGAAUAAGCUGACACCUUGACGGUACCUAACCAGAAAGCCACGGCUAACUACGUGCCAGCCGCCGCCGUAA